CGAUCUAACGGGGCAAUUCUGAUUUCAACCAUCCAAUUUUACUAAAACUGGUCCAAACCAAAUCCAAAUCAGGUCUGCCUACCGAGCAGCAAGUCGACCAGGCCGAUUUGACACCCCUUGAGAUAGAAUUGGGGAGCAAGCAUGCAGACUCUGGCCCCACGCAUUGAUGUCAUGUCUAAUCUCAAAAAACGAAAGAGAAAAAAAUAAUAUUUUU
RNAcentral lists this long non-coding RNA (214 nucleotides) under Amborella trichopoda. RNAcentral's name for it is "long non-coding RNA (ATRI_LNC000918)". Lineage: Eukaryota; Viridiplantae; Streptophyta; Magnoliopsida; Amborellales; Amborellaceae. The record is from RNAcentral.